GUGGGGAAUAUUGGACAAUGGGCGAAAGCCUGAUCCAGCCAUGCCGCGUGUGUGAAGAAGGUCUUCGGAUUGUAAAGCACUUUAAGUUGGGAGGAAGGGCAGUAAGUUAAUACCUUGCUGUUUUGACGUUACCGACAGAAUAAGCACCGGCUAACUUCGUGCCAGCAGCCGCGGUAAUACGAAGGGUGCAAGCGUUAAUCGGAAUUACUGGGCGUAAAGCGCGCGUAGGUGGUUUUGUAAGUUGGAGGUGAAAUCCCCGGGCUCAACCUGGGAACUGCCUCCAAAACUGCAUGACUAGAGUGCGGUAGAGGGUAGUGGAAUUUCCUGUGUAGCGGUGAAAUGCGUAGAUAUAGGAAGGAACACCAGUGGCGAAGGCGACUACCUGGACUGAUACUGACACUGAGGUGCGAAAGCGUGGGGAGCAAACAGGAUUAGAAACCCGGGUAGUCC
Molecule: ribosomal RNA, 450 nt
Filed under: uncultured bacterium
Lineage: Bacteria
Description: bacterial SSU rRNA
Rfam family: Bacterial small subunit ribosomal RNA
Source: RNAcentral